Gavialis gangeticus (Gharial) is the source of this 1167-nucleotide long non-coding RNA. RefSeq lists it as uncharacterized. The transcript has 3 exons. The record is from RefSeq and is a predicted model, not a curated record. Lineage: Eukaryota; Metazoa; Chordata; Crocodylia; Gavialidae.
AUCAUUGAUGAAGCAAAUAGCUCCUGGUGUCAUGCUCCCUCUGUCAGCUUGUCAGCUCUUCCCACUACUAGGUUACCCAGCAGAGGAUCCCCUGCACGCCUCCCAGAGCCCUCAUGCACACCCAGGGACGUGUGGGCACACAUGCAAGCCUGCGCACACACAGGCAGCGGCACACGUGCACAGACAGGUGCCCAGUGCAGGUGUUGCAGGGCAUGCCCCUACUUGAACCACCCUACUGCAAAGGCUGCUGGACAGAUGCUGAACAGCAUGGAAGGAGCAGGGGAAAGCAGGGCUGGGAGGUUUUACUCAAGCUCGUGUCCCUUAAGGAACCCAGCUCCAGAGGGGGACCAGUCAGGGCAAGGGAGACGUGGAAACCGCCAAGAGCAAAAAUCCUGCAGCCGUGGAGCACACACAAGCCGGGAACCGCCAGCAACCACAAGGACCAUGUUUCAAGGGCAAAGCUUCCCUCCUCCUGUCUGAGGCCACAGAGAUUGAUGGAGAAAAUCCAUAGCAAAUAUUUAUGGCUCUGCCAUAAAUAACCCUUUCCUGGACUUCCAAGGAGUUCUGCGGAGUUUCAAGGCCUUCAGUGUGGAAUUUGCACAAGAAGCUGAAUUGCUCCUGAUCCCUAAAUGAUUGGUCAGAGGAUUUGCAUGAGGAAGCAGAAAUUAAUUAUUCUUUUCUUGUCUCUUUAUUUCCCGUAAUUGUGUGUUUAGAAAUGCGAUUACAUUCUCCCGCCGCACGAGGGGCUGGGGGAGGUGCUUUGCAUGCAUUUAGUGCCUCUCGGUUAAGACCACCUAAUCGUUUCAAGCAUUUCCUCAGAUUCUCGCCCUCUUUUUCUGCUCUAACGACUAAACAAAGAUGGUGCAGCUUCCCCGGGAAUGCUCUUGGCAGCAAAGCAGGGCGCAGGGAGAUGGAGGUGCAGGGCCGGGGGGGUGAGGGCAGCUAGUCCUCAUGUGAAAUGGUCCUUUCUGCUCCUCUUGGCUGGCAGGGGCAGAGGCAGGAGAGGGCUAUGCCAGCCGGAGGUGUUAGAUGUGUCCUAAAGCCACCAGCCUUGCUCUGGGCACGAGGCUGCUGGGUUCAGUGGGGCAGCAGGUGUUUCCCACCCUGUCCCGUACAGGCAGCUCAGUCCUGUCCUCCCCACUCCCCUUCAAUCCACAACCUGGCAGG